Molecule: long non-coding RNA, 1260 nt
Filed under: Numida meleagris (helmeted guineafowl)
Lineage: Eukaryota; Metazoa; Chordata; Aves; Galliformes; Numididae
Description: lncRNA (ENSNMEG00000010020.1)
Source: RNAcentral
UGCCCUGAGCACAGUGCCGUUGGCUGCGCAGCCUGUUUUCUCACGUGGUAAACCUAUGAAUACAGCCUGACGAUUGCUCGAGGUGUGACAGAGACAAUUUGGAUGCAAAACAGGAAAAUAUCUCAGGCUCAAAGCUGGAACUGAUUCCUUUUGGACAUGGAGAGCCUGAACUUGGCAUACAUUGAUCCCUGUCCCUGGGUAGUUUAAUCUUGCCAGCCAAAAACCUAUAUGGAUUUACACUUCCCUAUGCAACCGUUUGAUAAUCACAUUGCCAUGGCUACACUUUAGUCUUGCAAUAAAAGUGUCAUUUCACACAUUUACAUCAAAAGGAACUCCGGGACAUGCAGCUCUGGUGUAGCAGAGUAAGCUGGUCUCCUUCUAUAAACACUUCCCAUUUCUAACGCCCUAUUAUUAGAUUCACUGGGUGUUUUCUUUAGGGGGUGAGGACUAUGGAAUAGGUUUGGCAGCAUGGAGAUGAAGUUCCUGAAUGCUCUGUGGUCUUGUCUACUUUAAGGCUUCCGCAGGGCUGGCAUCAGAACAGUUGUCCUAUUGGGGUCUCAGCAGUCCCUCAGGUGCCUCCUUCUGGAUUCUCUUCUGAGCCUACUCCUUCUGAUGGCUCCUUGUCCCACAGAUAAGGGCAUGGGCAGCCCCUGUCUUGGCUUGUGCCUUUUUCUCUGCCUCUGACUGGAAGCAACAGGCAGGAACGCCGGGUGAAGAAGCCACGCUCUUGCUCCAGAAGGAAAGCAGAAGGAGCCCAGCAGCACCACUGCAGAGCCUGCUCAGAACUUCGCUCCCUCUGCCACAGCGUGUGCAGCUUGCCAGGUAAAGCCUGGAUGAGAACACCCAGUGCUUUUCCCAAGAUGAAUGAGAUCAGCACAUAUUCAGGAAAGGAAAAAAAAAUCCUGCUAAUAUAUGGGAUGAUUUUUAACCCAGAGUUAAAGUGUUAGCUUACAAGUUCCUCUGCCUUAGGGCUCGGGAUUUCUGGGGUAGAUUUCAUGGUGAGGGUGGAAGUCUCUCUUCUCCGUUUGAUGCUGCUGUUAAAAAAGCAAGCAAAUGUUGUAGCCACAGGGUAGGCAAGAGCCCUGUGCUCAGCAGUGUGAGAUGUAGGACACGCGAAGGGUAUUGUCACAAGCUGUGGAGAAGCCUUUGCAACCUGCACACUGAUGAUUUUGGCUCAAGCCCAUAGCUCGCUAUUGCAAGCACCACAUGGCUAGAGCAGAGGGACUCUGACUCUGUUGAUCUUUCCUGGGCUAGGUUGUU